Molecule: ribosomal RNA, 545 nt
Filed under: uncultured Verrucomicrobiales bacterium
Lineage: Bacteria; Pseudomonadati; Verrucomicrobiota; Verrucomicrobiia; Verrucomicrobiales
Description: bacterial SSU rRNA
Rfam family: Bacterial small subunit ribosomal RNA
Source: RNAcentral
AGAGUUUGAUCCUGGCUCAGAACGAACGCUGGCGGCGUGGAUAAGACAUGCAAGUCGAACGCUAGCUUCAGGGUAGCAAUAUUCUGAAGUUGGAGUGGCGUAAGGGUGCGUAACACGUGGGCAAUUUGCCGUGAAGUUGGGGAUAACUCGCUGAAAGGCGAGCUAAUACCGAAUGUGACUGUUUGGGGGCAUCCCUGGAUAGUUAAAGUUGGGGACCGUAAGGCCUGACGCUUCACGAUAAACCUGCGGCCUAUCAGCUAGUUGGUGAGGUAACGGCCCACCAAGGCUAAGACGGGUAGCUGGUCUGAGAGGACGACCAGCCACACUGGAACUGAGACACGGUCCAGACACCUACGGGUGGCAGCAGUCGAGAAUUUUUCUCAAUGGGCGAAAGCUUGAAGGAGCGACGCCGCGUGGGGGAUGAAGGGCUUCGGCUCGUAAACCCCUGUCAUUUGCGAACAAACCUUCUCACCUAAUACGUGGGGAGCUGAUAGUAGCGAAAGAGGAAGGGACGGCUAACUCUGUGCCAGCAGCCGCGGUAAUAC